Triticum dicoccoides is the source of this 1146-nucleotide long non-coding RNA. RefSeq lists it as uncharacterized. The transcript has 3 exons. Lineage: Eukaryota; Viridiplantae; Streptophyta; Magnoliopsida; Poales; Poaceae. The record is from RefSeq and is a predicted model, not a curated record.
UCAUGUCAUCUAUUUGUCGCCGUUGUCCGCAGGUAAAGCAGCUCUGCGGAAGCCGCCGGCCACCAGGAUCAGAUUCUGUUGUGCAGCCUCAUGUGUGAAGCAAGAAAGUUAUGAUCUGGUGACAGAAGUCCUUCGAACGUGGACAAAUCAGUACCAAAAUUGAUUUGGUUCUUCCAAUCUGUGUGUACAAUGUUUUUUCUGAGGAGCAAGUAGGUGGAGCACAUGAGUGACGAUGAUACCCCAAACUCUCACUAACUCUUAGCAUCUCAUAAUGUGAUGUCUAUAGGAGAUGGAGCAGCGCCUUGUUGAUGCAUGAGCCGAUGCGGUCUGAAUCAAGCCUGUGCGCAUCUUGGUGAGAAUCAUUGGUCUGGUUUGACCAUAUUUUUUGGACUGCAUUUUGUGGUUGUGUGUGAAAUUGUGUGCGGUGUAGGAUCUGCACUGUACGUGGAUUGCAAUUGUAGGACUGAUGGUAAGGCUUGAUCAAUGAACAUCGACAUAAUUUACAAUUUGAUCUUGAUUAAGCACAUGCGAUGGUGUAGUCUCUCUCUGUGUCGCUGAAAGGCACUUGGUGGCGAGGGCGCACGCGGAGAUGCGUUUAGUAGGGGCCCGACGAGUGGGUAAGGGCGGGCGUGGAGAUCACUAUUCCUGUGUCAGCGAACAUAAUACAAGCAUGUGUGACGAGGACGAACUUGGCACAUGCAAUGGUGGGGAGUGGCGGCGAUGGUCAGGUGGAGGAGAACACGAGAAACGAAGCCAUGCGGCUGCAUCAGGCAUGUAUAGCUGAUCAAUGACUAUACAUAUUUUUGCCCGAAUGGUUUAGAUGGUCUUAACUGGAGGCUGCAUGGUGUAUCAGAUUUGGGUCGGAUCAGAGGAAAUCUACGGGAGAUUUGCAUGAGAUAGCAAUAGUGUGGCCCAUGAAACAGCAAAAAAUCAUCAACGUGGUGUAUCAGAUGUACAUUGACUUUCAGAGCACCAUCAACUAGCUUGAUCUGGUGUCCACUCGAAUAGAAAAGAAGAUGAAGUGCGUGACCAUUGUAGCUACUGUUUAAUUCAGGUAUAUACAUUGAUUGUUCAUACAAUUUUUUUCUAUCAUUUAACCAAAUGACGAAUGUGUGCAUCUGAAGAAGGACUGAGGGUGAGAAGAAC